Molecule: ribosomal RNA, 459 nt
Filed under: Triticum aestivum (bread wheat)
Lineage: Eukaryota; Viridiplantae; Streptophyta; Magnoliopsida; Poales; Poaceae
Description: partial small subunit ribosomal RNA
Source: RNAcentral
AUGAAGUUCCAACAAAAAUAUUGGGCGACGAAAGGUUCUGCAUCGGAUCAGGCCGUUUUACGAUGGGCUGUUACAGAUGGUGGCUUUGUUGUUCCAGAAGGUAAAUUUUAUCUCGUUGACUUGGGCUACACAAAUACUCCAAGAUUUAUUGCCCCCUAUCAUGGAGGUCGCUAUCACAUUGGUUCUUUUCGUGGAACUAAUCGUCGCUUUAUGAACAAGAGGGAACAGAAGGAAAUGUUGACACAGGUGACCAACAAGUUCGAGGGCAAGCAAAUGUACAAGAAGAUGAUCGAGUUGCUGAACAGCAGCAGAAAGAAGGUGUUGCAGUCAUCAUCCAGGGAGCCUCGCCACAUUGAGUCGCCAUCCUUGCCUGCUGUGUACACCUCACUUGCUGCCCGUUCUGGUACUCUUGCCCCCAGUUCCAGCAUUUUUUUGGCGGCUCCUUUGUCUGCAAAAUAG